AGGGUUCGAUCCUGGCUCAGGAUGAACGCUGGCGGCGUGCUUAACACAUGCAAGUCGAACGAACCUUCGGGUUAGUGGCGGACGGGUGAGUAACGCGUGAGAAUCUGCCCUCAGGAGGGGGAUAACGGUUGGAAACGACCGCUAAUACCCCAUAUGCCUAUUGGUGAAAUGAAUUUCGCCUGAGGAUGAGCUCGCGUCUGAUUAGCUUGUUGGUGAGGUAAUGGCUCACCAAGGCUUCGAUCAGUAGCUGGUCUGAGAGGAUGAUCAGCCACACUGGGACUGAGACACGGCCCAGACUCCUACGGGAGGCAGCAGUGGGGAAUUUUCCGCAAUGGGCGAAAGCCUGACGGAGCAACGCCGCGUGAGGGACGAAGGCCUCUGGGCUGUAAACCUCUUUUCUCAAGGAAGAAGAUAUGACGGUACUUGAGGAAUAAGCCACGGCUAAUUCCGUGCCAGCAGCCGCGGUAAUAC
This 471-nucleotide ribosomal RNA is filed under the name uncultured bacterium. RNAcentral describes it as "bacterial SSU rRNA". It matches the Rfam family "Bacterial small subunit ribosomal RNA", at positions 8 to 526 of the family's 1533-position model. The record is from RNAcentral.